GGGAGAAAGAGGGAGAAAGAGGGAGAGAGAGGGAGAGAGAGGGAGAGAGAGGGAGAGAGAGGGCGGAGCACUGCUGCUCAUUCAAAUCAAAGGUGUGUUUUGGAUUUCGGCCCCCCGUGGGAUGGAGCUUGAUACCCCUGUUCCAGCCCCUUGUUGUGCGGUGUAACACAACUUUUCCUUGAGCUGGACUGAGAGCAGAAAAGAAAAGAACAACAUCGACCAGCUCCUGCUGUCAUCGUUGAGAGCUGGGAGGAGGACAGGGACAUCUGGUGGCCACAUUUCCCGCCGUUUUCUUGUGACAUCAAACUCAUUCUUCAGCGGUAAAUUACUGCCAGAGCUGAAGAUGUUGAUGUUACAGUAUUUCUUGCUCACCACAACACAAACAGAGCAUGUUUUCCAGACUCCGAAGAAAAACAGAGGAGCUGCCUGAAGGAGGAACAGACUAAACGGCCUCACAGGAAGCCCUCUCCAGAGGGGAUCUUUAGCAGAAUGUGUGGGACGUUUGGAUGAAACCUUUGGCUUUCCUCGCUGCAGAGUCACAGUUCAAGACCACACGAGUCAAUGUGAGACGCCGCCAGACAAUAAACCUGAUUUAUUUGGAUCUCCUUCAGGAGGCGCUGCACGUGGAACAAGGGAGGGAAAAUGGAGCAAUAAAGAAGAUUUAUUUGAA
This is a long non-coding RNA of Oryzias melastigma (Indian medaka), 670 nucleotides long. RefSeq lists it as uncharacterized. The record is from RefSeq and is a predicted model, not a curated record. Lineage: Eukaryota; Metazoa; Chordata; Actinopteri; Beloniformes; Adrianichthyidae. The transcript has 3 exons.